GCUGGUCUAGUGGCGGCUGCUUGUGCUUGCGCGAUUUGCGCCAAAAGCGUGAUUUGUGCUAGGCAUGAGAGGAAAGUCCGAGCUACAAAGACAGGAUUCCAUUUAACGAAUGGCUAGGGCAACCUAAGGGAAAGUGCAACAGAAAACAACCGCCGCCGCGCGCGGUAAGGGUGAAAAGGCGGGGUAAGAGCCCACCGGAAUCUAAGCGAUUAGAUUUGUCUAUGCAAACCCAAUCCGUAGCAAGAAGAGUAUGGUAAAAGUCUUGAUUUUGCUCUUCGCUAGAGGUGCGCUGCGAAGCGCAUCCCAGAUAAAUAGCUGCCCUCGACAGAACUCGGCUUAUACUAGACCAGCGCUU
Non-coding RNA from Helicobacter sp. CLO-3, 355 nucleotides. It matches the Rfam family "Bacterial RNase P class A". From Rfam's summary of the family: Ribonuclease P (RNase P) is a ubiquitous endoribonuclease, found in archaea, bacteria and eukarya as well as chloroplasts and mitochondria. Its best characterised activity is the generation of mature 5'-ends of tRNAs by cleaving the 5'-leader elements of precursor-tRNAs. NCBI's taxonomy places the organism in Bacteria, Pseudomonadati, Campylobacterota, Epsilonproteobacteria, Campylobacterales, Helicobacteraceae. The record is from Rfam.